Molecule: unclassified non-coding RNA, 335 nt
Filed under: soil metagenome
Description: partial contains 5.8S ribosomal RNA, internal transcribed spacer 2, and large subunit ribosomal RNA
Rfam family: 5.8S ribosomal RNA (bases 1-120)
Source: RNAcentral
GAUGAAGAACGUAGCGAAAUGCGAUAAGUAAUGUGAAUUGCAGAAUUCAGUGAAUCAUCGAAUCUUUGAACGCACAUUGCGCCCGCUAGUAUUCUGGCGGGCAUGCCUGUCCGAGCGUCAUUUCAACCAUCAAGCCCCCGGCUUGUGUUGGGGACCUGCGGCUGCCGCAGGCCCUGAAAACCAGUGGCGGGCUCGCUAGUCACUCCGAGCGUAGUAGUUACAUCUCGCUCAGGGCGUGCUGCGGGUUCCGGCCGUUAAAAGCCUUAUUUACCCAAGGUUGACCUCGGAUCAGGUAGGAAGACCCGCUGAACUUAAGCAUAUCAAUAAGCGGAGGA